UGGGGAAUAUUGCACAAUGGGCGCAAGCCUGAUGCAGCCAUGCCGCGUGUGUGAAGAAGGCCUUCGGGUUGUAAAGCACUUUCAGCGAGGAGGAAGGUGGUGAACUUAAUACGUUCAUCAAUUGACGUUACUCGCAGAAGAAGCACCGGCUAACUCCGUGCCAGCAGCCGCGGUAAUACGGAGGGUGCAAGCGUUAAUCGGAAUUACUGGGCGUAAAGCGCACGCAGGCGGUUUGUUAAGUCAGAUGUGAAAUCCCCGGGCUCAACCUGGGAACUGCAUUUGAAACUGGCAAGCUAGAGUCUCGUAGAGGGGGGUGAGAAUUCCAGGUGUAGCGGUGAAAUGCGUAGAGAUCUGGAGGAAUACCGGUGGCGAAGGCGGCCCCCUGGACGAAGACUGACGCUCAGGUGCGAAAAGCGUGGGGCAGCAAACAGGAUUAGAUACCCUGGUAGGUCCACGCUGUAAACGAUGUCGAUUUUGGAGGUUGUGNCCUUGAGGCGUGGCUUCCGGAGCUAACGCGUUAAAUCGACCG
RNAcentral lists this ribosomal RNA (529 nucleotides) under uncultured bacterium. RNAcentral describes it as "partial 16S ribosomal RNA". It matches the Rfam family "Bacterial small subunit ribosomal RNA", at positions 355 to 871 of the family's 1533-position model. The record is from RNAcentral.